UCCCCCUCCCUCUCCCCCUCCUCCUCCUCCUCCUUCUUCUCCUCCUCCUUGCCUACCUCAUAGUGCAGAGAGAGAAGUUUAUCAUCUAUGUAUAUACUUUUAGGAAAGUGAAAAUCCUUUAUUAAUGGCAAGUUCACUUAUUUUACUUUAAAUUUUCUUUGCAGUACUGGAAAUUACACACUGGGUUUCACUCAUGCUGUGUGUGGACUCUGAAUCAAGCUGUACAUAUAGCCCCCAAUAUUUCCUCUUAUUUUAAAAUAAUACACAAAACAUUAAAAUAUAUAAUGAGGCAACAUGAUAAUUUAAUAUAUGUUUUAACUUUGUUAUGCUUUAAUUAAGAUAAACAUAUGUAUUGCCUUAAAUAUUUAUUAUUUUUUAUGGUAUAAGUUUUAACAUUUCCUUGCAUGUUGAAAUUUGUGGUACAUUAUUGUUAUCAAUAGCAACACAAUAGCAUACCAGAUAUUCUUCCUCCUACCUCACUUAUAAUGCUGUCUUCAUUGGUUAACUACCUAUCUGACCUCUUGUAGUCACUCUUAUACUCUCAAACUUCUGUGAGAUUGGCCUUUUGUAGUUAUGGCAGUAACAAACCGUCCAUCCACAUUGUUUUAUAACCUUGUUGCCUGCAUGUAUUUUUGUGUAUUACAUGUGUGCCUGGUGCCGAUGGAGGUUAGAAGAGGACACUGGCUGCUCUAGGACUGGAGAUACACAUAGUGGAGCCCAUGGAGGCCAGAAGACAGAUCCCCUGGAGCUGGAAUUAGGUAUGGUUGUGAACUACCAUGUGAGUGCUGGGAACUGAAUGCCGUCCCUUCCAAGAACAGGACUGAACUCAUAUCAUCAGGGUUGGAGACAAGUAUACUUACUGACUGAGCUAUCUCACUGGCCUUUUGGUUUAUAAAGAAUUGUGUUGGAAGUUUGAUGGGAAUUGCCUUAUUCAUAAUAGCCAGAAACUGGAAGCAACCCAGAUGUCCCUCAACUGAAGAAUGGAUACAGAAAAUGUGAUUCAUUUACACAAUGGAAUACUAUUCAGCUAUUAAAAACAAAAGCAUUAUGAAUUUUGCAGGCAAAUGCAUGAAACUUGAGAAUAUCAUCCUGAGUGAGACAAGAACCUAGCAUAUUUGUCUCUCGAGAGGCUUUAUCCAGCAGCAGAUGGAGGCAGAUGCAGAGAUACACAGCCAGACAUCAGGAGAAGCUCCAGGUGCCUUGUGGAAGAGUGGGGGAUAGAAAUGAUCAAGCCAGAGAGAUCAAGAACACCCAAAGAAAACCUACAGAAUCAACUAACAUGGGCCCACGGGAGAUCACAGAGACUGAACUACUAACCAAAGAGCAGACAGAGGCUGGAUCUAAGACCCCUACACAUUUAGAGUAGAGGUGCAACUUGUCCUCAUGUGGGUCCUCUAUCAAUUGGAAUGGGGGCUGUCCCUGAUUGUGUUCCCUGUCACUGGAUCCUCUUCUCCUACCUUGACUACCUGGUUGGGCCUCAGUGGGAGAAGAUGUGCUUAGUCCUGCUGGGACUAGAUGUCUCAAGGCAGGGUGGUACCCUAGGGGGCGGGGUCCACUUCUUUGAUGCAAAGGGGGAGGAGUAAUGGGGGGAGGGACUUACAUGGGUAGGACUGGGAGGAGAGAAUUAAGACCGGCUGUUAUCAGGAUGUACAGUGAAAAAAUAGAUAAAUUAACCAAAAAAAAAAAAAAGACAUUUCUUCUUGGUGCACAUUUCACUUACAUUGAGAAUAAAUUCUCAACAUUGUUCUUGUCAAACUCUUUUAUGGAUUGAUUACUCGAGCACUGUCCUUAAACCUUCUCCUGGUUUAGAACUUUAAAGUCUUUGUUUUUUAAUUAAAAUAUAAUUACAUCGGCUAGAGAGAUGAUAUCAGUUAAAAGCAUGGGCUGUUCUUAUGGAGGACCUGAGUUGGAUUCUUGAUAGCCACAUAAUGAAGCUUACAAUAAUAAUAAUCCAAGACUCCAGCUCUGGGGAGAUCUGAUGCCUGUGGCCUUCAUGGGCAUCUGUAUUCUUGUGCCCACACCAACACACACACACACACACACACACACACACACACAAAUAUACAUAUAAUUAAAAACUAAAUCUAAAACCUUAAAAUAUAUAAUUUUCUCCUUUUCCUCCUAAAGAACUUUCUGUAGUGCAUUCCAGGAGAAUUAAGUCUUUAUACCCCUUGCUUAUACAGUAAUGAUGAGGAUAUUAAUUUUUAAUGAUCAUUAUUUUACAUUUAUUCAGUUUACUAAUUCCCAGGCAAUAUGCUAAGGAUUUUGUAUGUAUUCAUUCAUUAUAUUCUCUUGAUAAUCCAAUAGAGAGGGAAAUGAUUAUUUUUCCAUUUUAAUGAUUAGAAUGUUGAAACAGAAUUAAUGUUCCCAGGUUCACAGUAUUAAUUAAAGCUUUAUGGCUUCCCUGAUCAUAUUAUUAUUAUUAUGAGAUUUUAUAUGCUUAUCUUGUGUAUAUGCAUAUAUAUAUAUGUAUAUAUAUAUAUAUGUAUGUAUAUAUAUAUAUGCUAACAUUGAAAAAUAAGUGUGGGCAAACUUGCUGAAUGUGUUCAGUUCUGUGGUAUUAACAGUUUUUAAAGGAAAGAUUAGCUGACCUUCAUCUAUACUAAAACUAUUCCCUCAGGAAUAUUUCAUUUCUCUUUUCUAUUAAUAAGCUGCUUUGAAGAGCAAAUUAGCCCUAUGAAGGAUGCUACAUUAAGUUUCAAAGUACUAAAACCAAAGGAAUUUAAUAUUUCCUCCUUUAUUCUUUCCAUGUAUUUCAUCGGUAAUGAUGCAAUUUUCUGUCAGUUACUACUCUGAAUAUUGCCCCUUAGCCAUGCUAGCUACCCAUCAAGCCGCAGCGAAAGAGAAUUAUUGUUGUGACCCUUCUUAAUCAGCUUUUGGCCACAUUGUUUCCCUGUAUUUGACUAUAUGUAAAAAUAAGCAUAGCUAACAGAUGAAAAGAACUCAUCUUUGUGUUAGUUUUUGUUGUUUCAAAACAAAGUUUCUGCAUAGCCCUGGCUGUCUUGGAACUUACUCUGUAGACCAGGCUGCCCUCAAACUUGGAGAAUGGCCAGCUUCCGCCUCCUCAGUGCUGUGAAUAAAGGUGUAUAUGUGUGUGCAGCGUCCACCUCGGGCUUACAUUUGUUAUUUUUAACAUUGCUUGACCCAAUAUUUGAUCUGUUGUCUUACAGUGUAGGAAAGGAUCCAGCUUAUCAUGAUAGGGAAGGCAUGUCGCAGGAUUGCAAGGCAGUUGAUAACAGUGUCUCCAGUCAGGAAGCACAGAUGAAUGCUGGUGCAUAGCUCAUUUGUUUAUUUCUAUUUUAGACUGUGGUCCUAGCCCACAUAUAGGAUAGGUAUUCCAACCUCAAUCAACUUCUUGGAGAAACCCCUUUCACAGACAUGCUCAGAAGCUUGUCUUCUAUGUGAUUAUAGAUCCUGUCAAAGCGACACUGUUAACCAUCAAAAUGCUGCACUUGACACUUCCAUAAUAAACACGUGUGUAUCUGGUCCUUGGAGGAUGGAAGGAUGCAGACAGCACAGUUUAAUGUUGUCCCAAAGGUCAAGGUACCUGAGUAUAUUAUUCCAUUUAAGAUUUGAAGGCAAAGGCAGUAACACUUGGAUAUGAAUCUUAACUACCACUUUGUACAUGUAUAAUCUUCAACAAGUUAAGUUUUUCGUCUUGACCUUGGUUUCCUCAAUGUAUAAUAAUGAUAAUAUUAUAUCUGCUUCAUAGACUUCUUGUGAUCAUUAAACAGGUUAAUAAUCAGGAAACUGCUUUCUGUCCAGAGAGAACAUUAGAAAUAUCAGUAAUUAUUACUAAUUGUACCUUAGGGGUGCCAUUUUCUAUAUGAAAUUUCUUGUUUAUCAUUUAUUUUUCUCAGAAAUAAGCCUAUCACUUUCUCAAGUAUGCCUUAAAGCAUGGAAUUAGAAAUACUGUUUUUAGACACAUGCCAGUAUGAAGAUUACCCACUGAUUCCAGUUUCUUGCAUUUCACUUCUAAGCAGCCCAGAAAUGGGACUUCCCCAGGUUGAAGGCAGAGAGGGAGCUUUUCAAAAGCUCUUGCACUUGUAUGUUGCCUAUGAUUAACCCAGUCACUUGAUUCCACAACUCAUGCCUUACUGUUAAUCUGCAGUCAUUUAACUUAGUUCAGUGGUCUCUGAAGUGCAGGGUAGAUGGGAUCCCAGAAAGAUGCAAGAUUAACUAUUUGGCUGUGAAGAAAAUGUUAAAAUUUACACUCGCUUUUUACCCACUUUGUGGCUGACACUGCCCACACAUCUCUCCGUGUUGGACACAGCACAUUUGUCUGCCUGGACCUUGAUGAAAGAGUGGGUGUUUCAUAAUGGGAAGUGCUGUUUGUCGAAGGCCUCACUUGUUGGAACAUGCAAUGAUUUAUCGUACAGAGAGAUUUUUGGCUUAGGUAGCUUGUAUAAUCUUAGUUAUCAAAUCUAAGUUUGCAAGGAAAUGACCUGCAGAAUUCAUUCAACUGCGUCACUCAUCUGUGACACCCUAGAGGGCUCACUAAUUAUCACGAGGGAAGCAUUUAAAAACUUGGUGCACUUAGAAAUGAGGCAUACUCUAGUCUUUUAAAUAAAGACAAAUAUUUCAAAAUUGCUGACCUUCUCUUGCUAAUUAGUUCACAAUAGUAUGUAUCUUAGUUAGGGUUUUACUGCUGUGAAGAGACACCACAACCAAGGCAACUCUUAUAAGGAUAACGUUUAAUUGGGUUGACUUACAGGUUCAGAGGUUCAGUCCAUUAUCAAGGUGGGAGCAUGGCAGUAUCCAGGCAGGCAUGGUGCAGGAGGAGCUGAGAGUUCUGCAUCUUCAUCUGAAGGCUGCUAACAAGAACACUCAUUUUCAGGCAGCUAGGAUGAGAGUAUUAAACCCCACACCCACAGUGACACACCUACUCCAACAAAGCAACACCUUCUGAUAGUGGCACUUCCUGGCCCAAGUAUAUACAAACUAUCACAGUAUGAUACCCAGAAGACAUUUGAAAGGAAAACCUGACCUAUUCCUUCAAGAUGGUUUUAGUAAUCAGUGACAAAUAACUAGGUCAAUUACUUAGGAGGCUGAGGCAGGAGGAUUGUGGGUUCAGGGCUUGUUUGGGCUACAGAAAUAGGCCCUAUAUCAGUACAUAAAUGCAUAAAAAUGUAAAAUGCUUUGUAGUAUAUGCCUUUUAAUCUGUUAUGUGGCUUAUUGCUUUGUCACCUACAACAUCUGGAGUUUGCAUAAUGUUAAAAUUUGACAGAAAUAGUUCCAAAUUCAUUAACUGGUUUUCUAUGUGAAGGAUUGUGGUAAAUUUGGAGCUCAUUUGUUAAAAAUAAGAGGCUAUUUGGUUUAGUUUAUAAGCAUAGCUUGUUGGUGAAUUUUUCUUCUUGGUGACAAGGCACACUCAGUACUUUUGAGUAAUUGGAGGUGAAACUGAAGAAUGUGUUAUUAUACUGUAUUAAGUAUGGAUAAGUAUGUAUUAUCUUUAAAAAUGUAAAAUAUAAUUAUGUCACUUCUGCUUUCCUUUCUCUCCCUCUGUCUUCUCCCAUGUUACCCCACUUACUAUCAAAUUCACUACCUCUUUUUAUUAUUUUUACAUCCACACAGAUAGAGAGAUGAUAGAUGCACAAAUAUAUAAAUACAAUAUACAGUGUGUGUGUUUUUGUUGUUUAUGUGGCUAAGCUUUCAGAGAUGACCACGUUGGAUUGGA
Molecule: long non-coding RNA, 5677 nt
Organism: Mus musculus (house mouse)
Lineage: Eukaryota; Metazoa; Chordata; Mammalia; Rodentia; Muridae
Product: RIKEN cDNA B230118I11 gene
Exons: 5
Source: RefSeq, a predicted model, not a curated record